UACGAAGGGGGCUAGCGUUGCUCGGAAUCACUGGGCGUAAAGCGCACGUAGGCGGAUCGCUAAGUCAGGGGUGAAAUCCUGGAGCUCAACUCCAGAACUGCCUUUGAUACUGGCAAUCUCGAGUCCGGGAGAGGUGAGUGGAACUCCGAGUGUAGAGGUGAAAUUCGUAGAUAUUCGCAAGAACACCAGUGGCGAAGGCGGCUCACUGGCCCGAUACUGACGCUGAGGCACGAAAGCGUGGGGAGCAAACAGG
RNAcentral lists this ribosomal RNA (253 nucleotides) under uncultured bacterium. RNAcentral's name for it is "partial 16S ribosomal RNA". It matches the Rfam family "Bacterial small subunit ribosomal RNA", at positions 524 to 776 of the family's 1533-position model. The record is from RNAcentral.